GUGGGGAAUCUUGCGCAAUGGGCGAAAGCCUGACGCAGCAACGCCGCGUGCGGGAUGAAGGCCCUCGGGUUGUAAACCGCUUUCAGUGGGGACGAACCAAGACGGUACCCACAGAAGAAGCCCCGGCCAACUACGUGCCAGCAGCCGCGGUAACACGUAGGGGGCAAGCGUUGUCCGGAUUCAUUGGGCGUAAAGAGCUCGUAGGCGGUUCGAUAAGUCGGGUGUGAAACCUCCAGGCUCAACCUGGAGACGCCACCCGAUACUGUCGUGACUAGAGUCCAGUAGGGGAGCGUGGAAUUCCUGGUGUAGCGGUGAAAUGCGCAGAUAUCAGGAGGAACACCAGCGGCGAAGGCGGCGCUCUGGGCUGGAACUGACGCUGAGGAGCGAAAGCGUGGGGAGCGAACAGGAUUAGAAACCCUGGUAGUCC
This 427-nucleotide ribosomal RNA is filed under the name uncultured bacterium. RNAcentral describes it as "bacterial SSU rRNA". It matches the Rfam family "Bacterial small subunit ribosomal RNA", at positions 354 to 796 of the family's 1533-position model. The record is from RNAcentral.